This 86-nucleotide small RNA is filed under the name Amylolactobacillus amylophilus. Its description in RNAcentral is "Lactobacillus amylophilus SAM-III sequence". It matches the Rfam family "SAM-III riboswitch aptamer (SMK box)". Lineage: Bacteria; Bacillati; Bacillota; Bacilli; Lactobacillales; Lactobacillaceae. The record is from RNAcentral. RNAcentral also lists the same sequence under 1 other name.
ACAAGUUACAAUCCCGAUAGGAUUCAGUGGAAUCGUUCCGCUGGAGAUGCCUUGUAACCGAUAAAUAGUAGGGGGACUACAUAAUG